GACGAACGCUGGCGGCGUGCUUAACACAUGCAAGUCGAACGGAAAGGCCCUGCUUUUGUGGGGUGCUCGAGUGGCGAACGGGUGAGUAACACGUGAGUAACCUGCCCUUGACUUUGGGAUAACUUCAGGAAACUGGGGCUAAUACCGGAUAGGAGCUCCUGCUGCAUGGUGGGGGUUGGAAAGUUUCGGCGGUUGGGGAUGGACUCGCGGCUUAUCAGCUUGUUGGUGGGGUAGUGGCUUACCAAGGCUUUGACGGGUAGUCGGCCUGAGAGGGUGACCGGCCACAUGGGGACUGAGAUACGGCCCAGACUGCUACGGGCGGCAGCAGUGGGGAAUAUUGCACAGUGGGCGGAAGCCUGAUGCAGCAACGCCGCGUGCGGGAUGACGGCUUUCGGGUUGUAAACCGCUUUGGCCUGUGACGAAGCGUGAGUGACGGUAAUGGGUAAAGAAGCAACGGCUAACUACGUG
Molecule: ribosomal RNA, 468 nt
Filed under: uncultured bacterium
Lineage: Bacteria
Description: partial 16S ribosomal RNA
Rfam family: Bacterial small subunit ribosomal RNA
Source: RNAcentral